RNAcentral lists this unclassified non-coding RNA (232 nucleotides) under uncultured fungus. RNAcentral's name for it is "sequence contains ITS1, 5.8S rRNA gene". The record is from RNAcentral. Lineage: Eukaryota; Fungi.
CUGAGGUACGCUCGGUGUCGCUUCGGCGCGCCGGUUGCCCGCCCUUAUGUCAUACGUGCCGGAGCCGUUCCCCCUCUGCCUUCUGGGCGGUGGUGGGCGGCGACGGGAACAUCACUUCGGUCGAGGUGUUGCGUCCCGGGGGGUCCUCCCUCCGGGCGCGACCGCGGCCGGCCGUAUCUUUACACUCUUUUUUGAGAAACAUGAAGUCUGAAGCAAAAACAAAAUAAAGCAA